UUCAUUAGAUGCGGAUGCAACAUAUAGAAUCCAUUAUUAUAAUUAUUUAAGCAAUAUAGCAAUGUAUAGCUUGACUUUCUUUUCCACUUCCACCUAUUUUUUUUUUUUUUUUGGUUCGGACAAAGUCAUGUUAGAUGUUAGAAAUUAGUUCCCCAUCCACUCCAAGAACCACCUUAUCUCUCCAUUCACCAAAUCCACCUUAUAUCUCCAAUCUC
RNAcentral lists this long non-coding RNA (215 nucleotides) under Salvia miltiorrhiza (redroot sage). Its description in RNAcentral is "long non-coding RNA (SMIL_LNC002026)". Lineage: Eukaryota; Viridiplantae; Streptophyta; Magnoliopsida; Lamiales; Lamiaceae. The record is from RNAcentral.